GAGUUUGAUCCUGGCUCAGGAUGAACGCUAGCGGCAGGCUUAACACAUGCAAGUCGAGGGGUAACGGGGAAGCUUGCUUCCGCCGACGACCGGCGCACGGGUGCGUAACGCGUAUACAAUCUACCUUGUACUGGGGUAUAGCCUUUAGAAAUGAAGAUUAACCCCCCAUAGUCUCUUAGAGUGGCAUCACUUCUAGAGUAAAGGUUACGGUAUAAGAUGAGUAUGCGUUCUAUUAGUUUGUUGGUGUGGUAACGGCACACCAAGACUACGAUAGAUAGGGGCCCUGAGAGGGGGAUCCCCCACACUGGUACUGAGACACGGACCAGACUCCUACGGGAGGCAGCAGUGAGGAAUAUUGGACAAUGGAGGCAACUCUGAUCCAGCCAUGCCGCGUGCAGGAAGACUGCCCUAUGGGUUGUAAACUGCUUUUAUACAGGAAGAAACACCUCUACGUGUAGAGGCUUGACGGUACUGUAAGAAUAAGGAUCGGCUAACUCCGUGCCAGCAGCCGCGGUAAUACGGAGGAUCCAAGCGUUAUCCGGAAUCAUUGGGUUUAAAGGGUCCGUAGGUGGAUAAUUAAGUCAGAGGUGAAAUCUUGCAGCUCAACUGUAAAAUUGCCUUUGAAACUGGUUAUCUUGAGUUAUUAUGAAGUAGUUAGAAUAUGUAGUGUAGCGGUGAAAUGCAUAGAUAUUACAUAGAAUACCAAUUGCGAAGGCAGAUUACUAAUAAUCAACUGACACUGAUGGACGAAAGCGUGGGUAGCGAACAGGAUUAGAUACCCUGGUAGUCCACGCCGUAAACGAUGGUUACUAGCUGUUUGGACUUCGGUCUGAGUGGCUAAGCGAAAGUGAUAAGUAACCCACCUGGGGAGUACGUUCGCAAGAAUGAAACUCAAAGGAAUUGACGGGGGCCCGCACAAGCGGUGGAGCAUGUGGUUUAAUUCGAUGAUACGCGAGGAACCUUACCAGGGCUUAAAUGUAAGUUGCAUUAGUUAGAGAUAGCUAUUUCUUCGGACCACUUACAAGGUGCUGCAUGGUUGUCGUCAGCUCGUGCCGUGAGGUGUCAGGUUAAGUCCUAUAACGAGCGCAACCCCUGUUGUUAGUUGCCAGCGAGUCAUGUCGGGAACUCUAGCAAGACUGCCAGUGCAAACUGUGAGGAAGGUGGGGAUGACGUCAAAUCAUCACGGCCCUUACGUCCUGGGCUACACACGUGCUACAAUGGUAGGUACAGAGAGCAGCCACUGCGCGAGCAGGAGCGAAUCUAUAAAACCUAUCACAGUUCGGAUCGGAGUCUGCAACUCGACUCCGUGAAGCUGGAAUCGCUAGUAAUCGGAUAUCAGCCAUGAUCCGGUGAAUACGUUCCCGGGCCUUGUACACACCGCCCGUCAAGCCAUGGAAGUUGGAAGUGCCUGAAGUCCGUCACCGUAAGGAGCGGCCUAGGGUAAAGUCGAUAACUAGGGCUAAGUCGUAACAAGGUAACC
RNAcentral lists this ribosomal RNA (1480 nucleotides) under uncultured marine bacterium. RNAcentral describes it as "bacterial SSU rRNA". It matches the Rfam family "Bacterial small subunit ribosomal RNA". The record is from RNAcentral.